RNAcentral lists this transfer RNA (77 nucleotides) under Deltaproteobacteria bacterium. Its description in RNAcentral is "tRNA-Arg". It matches the Rfam family "tRNA". Rfam says of the family: Transfer RNA (tRNA) molecules are approximately 80 nucleotides in length. The record is from RNAcentral. RNAcentral also lists the same sequence under 1 other name. Lineage: Bacteria; Pseudomonadati; Myxococcota; Myxococcia.
GUCCCCGUAGCUCAGCUGGAUAGAGCGACUGCCUCCUAAGCAGUAGGCCGCCCGUUCGAAUCGGGCCGGGGACGCCA